CCUACGGGAGGCAGCAGUGGGGAAUAUUGGACAAUGGAGGCAACUCUGACCCAGCAACGCCGCGUGAGGGAAGAAGGACUUAGGGUUGUAAACUUCUGUUGUCAAGGAAGAAAAGAAUGCCGGUACUUUACAAGAAAGCCCCGGCUAACUAUGUGCAAGCAGCCGCGGUAAGACAUAGGGGGCAAGCGUUGUUCGGAAUUACUGGGCGUAAAGGGAGCGUAGGCGGGAGAGUAAGUUAAGAGUGAAAGCCUGGGGCUCAACCCAAGAAAUGCACUUAAUACUGGUUUUCUAGAGGGUGGGAGAGGUAAGUGGAAUUACUAGUGUAGCGGUAGAAUGCGUAGAGAUUAGGAGGAACAUCAGAGGCGAAGGCGGCUUACUGGACCAUAACUGACGCUGAGGCUCGAAAGCGUGGGGAGCAAACAGGAUUAGAUACCCUUGUAGUC
Molecule: ribosomal RNA, 443 nt
Filed under: uncultured bacterium
Lineage: Bacteria
Description: partial 16S ribosomal RNA
Rfam family: Bacterial small subunit ribosomal RNA
Source: RNAcentral